UGUUUAUUUUGGCAGCUCGUAUACCAUAUUCAAAUGAUACAGCGAGGAUGAACAUGGUUCCUACCCAAAGGACUA
This 75-nucleotide small nuclear RNA is filed under the name Cervus elaphus hippelaphus. Lineage: Eukaryota; Metazoa; Chordata; Mammalia; Artiodactyla; Cervidae. The record is from RNAcentral.